This 296-nucleotide long non-coding RNA is filed under the name Setaria viridis. RNAcentral describes it as "long non-coding RNA (SVIR_LNC005568)". The record is from RNAcentral. Lineage: Eukaryota; Viridiplantae; Streptophyta; Magnoliopsida; Poales; Poaceae.
ACAUGUUUGUUGAUAUAUCUAUACAUCUUGUUUGGUUCUAUGAUUGCUUAGAAUAGGUUGCAAAACCUAGACUGGUAAAUGAACCUGGAACUGGAGCUAAAACUUGAAAAAUAGGGUCACUUCGUGCUUUUGGCAAACAAACCCCUCAGCCAAAAAGCCCUGCAUGUCUAGAAGGAGGAGUAGUUUUUACUCCUAUCGGUUAAGUCUUGUUGAGCUUAGUAGCUCAGCCUUGUUGUGGCUCCUAUUUUUCAGGUGAAGUUGCUACUCCCGACCCCUCUCUUGUUGGCGCUUGGCCG